Carcharodon carcharias (great white shark) is the source of this 356-nucleotide long non-coding RNA. RefSeq lists it as uncharacterized. The record is from RefSeq and is a predicted model, not a curated record. The transcript is spliced from 3 exons. Lineage: Eukaryota; Metazoa; Chordata; Chondrichthyes; Lamniformes; Lamnidae.
CCACAGUGUGAUUGAAAUGUCCUGUGAAAUUGCAGUGUAUCAGCCAAUUCUGAAACCCGACACCUUCAGGAAGUGUUCUGCGAUAUUGUUUCUGAUUGUGUGGAAUAAAAUAUGGUCUCGAUUUGACAAGGAGAGAUUAAACUGUGACAAUCCUCUGCCACUCCACCUGUGCCUUUGAUUUGGAAACAUCCAUCUCUUUCAUGAUGAUUCCUGUAUGAAACAUUGAGAUGAGUUCAUCGGCCCACAGUAGAAAUCAGCAGAAGCACUCGACUCCUGUUUAGAUAUAAGGCAUGUCCCACCACCUCGUGAAUCUUUUAGCAACUUGGAAAGCAGAGAAAGGAUGUAAAAUCUUUCCA